Molecule: ribosomal RNA, 253 nt
Filed under: uncultured bacterium
Lineage: Bacteria
Description: partial 16S ribosomal RNA
Rfam family: Bacterial small subunit ribosomal RNA
Source: RNAcentral
GACAGAGGGUGCAACCGUUGUUCGGAAUUACUGGGCGUAAAGCGUGUGUAGGCGGCUACAUAAGUCGGAUGUGAAAGCCCCGGGCUCAACCCGGGAAGUGCACUCGAUACUGCGUAGCUUGAGUCUCGGAGAGGUUGGUGGAAUUCUCGGUGUAGAGGUGAAAUUCGUAGAUAUCGAGAGGAACACCGGUGGCGAAGGCGGCCAACUGGACGAAGACUGACGCUGAGACACGAAAGCGUGGGGAGCAAACAGG